This 253-nucleotide non-coding RNA is filed under the name uncultured bacterium. Its description in RNAcentral is "partial 16S ribosomal RNA". It matches the Rfam family "Bacterial small subunit ribosomal RNA", at positions 524 to 776 of the family's 1533-position model. RNAcentral also lists the same sequence under 1 other name. The record is from RNAcentral.
UACGGAGGAUGCGAGCGUUAUCCGGAUUUAUUGGGUUUAAAGGGUGCGUAGGUGGUUUCUUAAGUCAGUGGUGAAAGUUUGUCGCUCAACGAUAAAAUUGCCAUUGAAACUGGGGAACUUGAGUAUGUUUGAGGUAGGCGGAAUGCGUAGUGUAGCGGUGAAAUGCAUAGAUAUUACGCAGAACUCCAAUUGCGAAGGCAGCUUACUAAACCAUAACUGACACUGAUGCACGAAAGCGUGGGUAUCAAACAGG